UGGGGAAUUUUGCACAAUGGGGGAAACCCUGAUGCAGCGACGCCGCGUGAUUUAGAAGGCCUUCGGGUUGUAAAAAUCUUUUUUACGGGAUGAAAAUGACAGUACCGUAAGAAUAAGGUCCGGCUAAAUACGUGCCAGCAGCCGCGGUAAUACGUAUGGACCGAGCGUUGUCCGGAAUCAUUGGGCGUAAAGGGUACGUAGGCGGCCUAGUAAGUUAGAAGUGAAAUAAUAUAGCUCAACUAUAUAAAGCUUUUAAAACUGCUAGGCUUGAGAGAUGGAAGGGAAAGUGGAAUUCCUGGUGUAGCGGUGAAAUGCGCAGAUAUUAGGAAGAAUACCGGUGGCGAAGGCGACUUUCUGGUCAUCAUCUGACGCUGAGGUACGAAAGCGUGGGUAGCAAACAGG
Molecule: ribosomal RNA, 402 nt
Filed under: bacterium
Lineage: Bacteria
Description: partial 16S ribosomal RNA
Rfam family: Bacterial small subunit ribosomal RNA
Source: RNAcentral